UACAAGUUAACCGAGUGAGGAAUCAAUAGUUAAUAGGUGUGAUAGAUAUCUUGCCUUUUUAAAUAACAGGCGAGAUCCGUUGAGAAGAUAAAUCAAGCUAUGUUGUGUUGUGUCCAUGUUUUGGCUGGACCUAAGUCAGCUCAAAAUCAUCAACUUGAUCCCUUUGCCCAAGGGAUCUUGCCCGACCAACAAUCUUCUUAGGUUUCUUCUUUCUAUUGAAUAUAUAUUAUUUGGUAUAUAGUCAUUAUACUUUUGGCAAUUAGGAAACAAUAAUUGUUCUAGUGAAUUAACUAGUUCCUUAUAUGUAUUGGAGAUCACAUGGGGAAUUUGAAACAAGAAAAUAAUAUAGGAAAUGGUAAAGACAAAGAUAUAUUUUGGAUCAUGAAUGAAAAGAUUGACUUGUUCAACCUCUUGGUGGAUGUUAUAAACAAGAGGUUGUGUGAUGUCAAUGGGUCCCUUAGCAAACAAAAUAUAGAACGAAUCAU
This 485-nucleotide long non-coding RNA is filed under the name Medicago truncatula (barrel medic). RNAcentral describes it as "long non-coding RNA (MTRU_LNC001915)". Lineage: Eukaryota; Viridiplantae; Streptophyta; Magnoliopsida; Fabales; Fabaceae. The record is from RNAcentral.